This 470-nucleotide ribosomal RNA is filed under the name uncultured archaeon. RNAcentral's name for it is "bacterial SSU rRNA". It matches the Rfam family "Archaeal small subunit ribosomal RNA", at positions 366 to 837 of the family's 1478-position model. The record is from RNAcentral.
AGCGAUAAGGGAACCUCGAGUGCCAGGUUACAAAUCUGGCUGUCGAGAUGCCUAAAAAGCAUUUCAUAGCAAGGGCCGGGCAAGACCGGUGCCAGCCGCCGCGGUAACACCGGCGGCUCGAGUGGUAACCGUUAUUAUUGGGUCUAAAGGGUCUGUAGCCGGCCGGAUAAGUCUCUUGAGAAAUCUGGCAGCUUAACUGUCAGGCUUUCAGGAGAUACUGUCUGGCUCGAGGCCGGGAGAGGUGAGAGGUACUUCAGGGGUAGGGGUGAAAUCUUGUAAUCCUUGAAGGACCACCAGUGGCGAAGGCGUCUCACCAGAACGGACCUGACGGCAAGGGACGAAAGCUAGGGGCACGAACCGGAUUAGAUACCCGGGUAGUCCUAGCCGUAAACGAUACUCGCUAGGUGUCGGCCACGGUGCGACCGUUGUCGGUGCCGUAGGAAGCCGUGAAGCGAGCCACCUGGGAAGUA